Molecule: ribosomal RNA, 495 nt
Filed under: uncultured bacterium
Lineage: Bacteria
Description: bacterial SSU rRNA
Rfam family: Bacterial small subunit ribosomal RNA
Source: RNAcentral
GACGAACGCUGGCGGCGUGCUUAACACAUGCAAGUCGAACGGUGAUCUUGAGAGCUUGCUCUUGGGUGAUCAGUGGCGAACGGGUGAGUAACACGUGAGCAACCUGCCCCUGACUCUGGAAUAACUUCGGGAAACCGAAGCUAAUACCGGAUAUGACACAGAGCCGCAUGGUUUCUGUGUGGAAAGUUUUUCGGUUGGGGAUGGACUCGCGGCCUAUCAGCUUGUUGGUGAGGUAAUGGCUCACCAAGGCGACGACGGGUAGCCGGCCUGAGAGGGCGACCGGCCACACUGGGACUGAGACACGGCCCAGACUCCUACGGGAGGCAGCAGUGGGGAAUAUUGCACAAUGGGCGAAAGCCUGAUGCAGCGACGCCGCGUGAGGGAUGAAGGCCUUCGGUUGUAACCUCUUCUAGUAGGAAGAAGCGCAAGUGACGGUACCUACAGAAGAAGCACCGGCUAACUACGUGCCAGCAGCCGCGGUAAGUCUAGUCUACG